This 305-nucleotide ribosomal RNA is filed under the name uncultured bacterium. RNAcentral describes it as "bacterial SSU rRNA". It matches the Rfam family "Bacterial small subunit ribosomal RNA", at positions 334 to 637 of the family's 1533-position model. The record is from RNAcentral.
GGUACCUACGGGGUGCAGCAUUUAUUAAUAUUGUUCAAUGGUCUAGAUCCUGAACCAGCCAAGUCGCGUGAGGGAGGACGGCCCUACGGGUUGUAAACCUCUUUUGCCGGGGGACAAACGGCGGCACGCGUGCCGUCCUGAGGGUACCCGGAGAAAAAGCAUCGGCUAACUCCGUGCCAGCAGCCGCGGUAAUACGGAGGAUGCGAGCGUUAUCCGGAUUUAUUGGGUUUAAAGGGUGCGUAGGCGGGAUGCCAAGUCAGCGGUCAAAUACGGGGGCUCAACCUGCGUCCGCCGUUGAAACUGGG